This 104-nucleotide small nuclear RNA is filed under the name Microcebus murinus (gray mouse lemur). The record is from RNAcentral. Lineage: Eukaryota; Metazoa; Chordata; Mammalia; Primates; Cheirogaleidae.
GCGCUCACUUCGGCAGCAUGUAUACUAAAAUUGGACCUGUACAGAGAUCAGCAUGGCACCGCUGCAGGGAUGACACACAAAUUCGUGAAGCAUUGCAUAUUAAA